GGAGACCUUGGCGAGGCGGCGGAGACGCUUAACGGAGGUGAAAGCUUUGGCGGAAAGGAAAGUCCAGCGGCAAGAUGCAGAGCUGGAGUCGUGUGUACUGUUCUUUGGCUAAGAGAGGCCAUUUCAGUCGAAUAUCUCAUGGUCUGCAAGGAGUUUCUGUUGUGCCACUGAGAACUUACACAGAUCAACCAAUUGAUGCUGAUGUAACAGUGAUAGGUUCUGGUCCUGGAGGAUAUGUUGCUGCUAUUAAAGCUGCCCAGUUGGGCUUCAAGGCAGUCUGCGUUGAGAAAAAUGAAACACUCGGUGGAACAUGCUUGAACGUUGGUUGUAUUCCUUCUAAGGCUUUAUUGAAUAACUCUCAUUAUUACCAUAUGGCCCAUGGAAAAGAUUUUGCAUCUAGAGGAAUUGAAAUGUCUGAAGUUCGCUUGAAUUUAGAGAAGAUGAUGGAGCAGAAGAGUAAUGCAGUAAAAACUUUAACGGGUGGUAUUGCCCACUUAUUCAAACAGAAUAAGGUUGCUCAUGUAAAUGGAUAUGGAACGAUAACUGGGAAAAAUCAGGUCACCGCUACGAAAGCCGAUGGCAGCACUCAAGUUAUUGAUACAAAGAACAUUCUUAUAGCCACAGGUUCAGAAGUCACUCCUUUUCCUGGAAUUACGAUUGAUGAAGAUACAGUAGUGUCAUCUACAGGUGCUUUGUCUUUAAAAAAAGUUCCAGAAAAGAUGGUUGUCAUUGGUGCAGGAGUAAUAGGUGUAGAAUUGGGCUCAGUUUGGCAAAGACUUGGUGCAGACGUGACAGCAGUUGAGUUUUUGGGUCAUGUUGGUGGAAUUGGAAUUGAUAUGGAGAUAUCUAAAAACUUUCAACGCAUCCUUCAAAAACAAGGAUUUAAAUUUAAAUUGAAUACCAAAGUUACUGGUGCUACUAAGAAGUCAGAUGGAGAAAUUGAUGUUUCUAUUGAAGCUGCUUCUGGUGGUAAAGCUGAAGUUAUCACUUGUGAUGUACUCCUGGUUUGCAUUGGCCGACGACCCUUUACUAAGAAUUUGGGACUAGAGGAGCUUGGAAUUGAGCUGGAUCCUAGAGGUAGAAUUCCAGUAAAUACCAGAUUCCAAACUAAAAUUCCAAAUAUCUAUGCAAUCGGCGAUGUGGUUGCCGGUCCAAUGCUGGCUCACAAAGCAGAGGAUGAAGGCAUUAUCUGUGUUGAAGGGAUGGCUGGUGGCGCUGUGCACAUUGACUACAAUUGUGUACCAUCGGUGAUUUACACACACCCUGAAGUUGCUUGGGUUGGCAAAUCAGAAGAGCAGUUGAAAGAAGAGGGUAUUGAGUACAAAGUUGGGAAAUUCCCAUUUGCUGCUAACAGCAGAGCUAAGACAAACGCUGACACAGAUGGCAUGGUGAAGAUCCUUGGGCAGAAAUCAACAGACCGAGUAUUGGGAGCACAUAUUCUAGGACCAGGUGCUGGUGAAAUGAUAAAUGAAGCUGCUCUUGCACUGGAAUAUGGAGCAUCCUGUGAAGAUAUAGCUAGAGUCUGUCAUGCACAUCCGACCUUAUCAGAAGCUUUUAGAGAAGCAAACCUGGCUGCAUCAUUUGGCAAAUCGAUCAACUUUUAAAUUAGAAGAUUAUAUUUUUCUGAAAUUUCCUGGGAGCUUUUAUAGAGGUAACAUUUCUGAACAGGAAAUGCUCACCGCUCCAAGAAUUUCUAGGACUGAAUUACGAAACUUGUGGAAGACUUUGAAGAAAAACACAGCAGCACCACUCAGCUGUGUUGUGGCGGAUGGACUACAGGAGGGAUUUCGAAUGUCUGAUGUAACAUGAGCACAGAUCCAGAGCAUGGAGUACCAGCUCUGUACCUAAGCAGCUUCAAGCCCAUACAGUCCCACAAACUCCAAAGAUGUAAGUGACUCCAGUGUACUAUUAUGCCUCCCAGCCACCCACCAAAAAUGCUCUCAUGUGAACCUCAGGGAUCUCCUUCAAGAUGGGACAUUCAGAAAGCAAGCCCCACCGCCACCAGGAAGACAGUGGGAGCAACCCAGAGGAGCUUUCCCUACCCGACCCCCUUCAAGCCACGUCUCAUCAAAGGAGCCGCCUCCUUCCACCAACAAAGCAACCCUUUAGUUUUUCCUGAGAAAGAAGUAGUACCAGUAAGAAUGGAAUAUGAUAACCAUUUAGCUUUCACAAUGUUUCACUUGGAAUCUAAACCCAGCUGCAUUUUGUUCUGUAUCUUCCUGUCUCCAAAGCUGUACUUUAGGCAUCUGUUUGUCAAUUACUCGUAUAUACAGUGUGCCUGUGUGUAUGUAUCUCAAAGAAAGGAAUAUUUGAGAAGACCUUACCCCUGGGUAUCACCUAACUCAGUAUCAUUGUCUUCUCAGGAAUAUAAUCGUACAAAAAACUGGGAAAAUGCAGAGAUGCUGAACGGUUGGGGGCCAAUCAAAAAAUGAUGUUUAAGGCUGAGAGAAUACCGUGACCCAACUCAAAGAAAAAGUGCUUAAAAGGAUUUGCGGGUUAAAUUAUAUUUUGUAAACCUGAUGGCUCUUUUCCUGAGGCUAGUUUUUUUUUUUCAGUGCUUUGCUUUUAUUAAUCGGUUGAUUCACAGAAGGCUUUCAUUUCUCCUCAGGUCUCGUACAAAGUUAUAAUUUUACAAAGUCAAAUCUCACAUUGCAUAUUUGUAAAUAAUGCCCCUUUGGAUCCUGGACCUUGCGUCCCUGGCUACUGUGUUGGAAAAAUGAUUGAUGAAAUUGGUGUUCCCAAGGUGAUUCCAAUCUGUCUGAUUAGGUGAAGAGUGAAGGUAGGACCAGGGCUGUCUGAGGAAGGGAGUCGCUCUUUCUGGCAGGCUCUUGAUGGAUACCAGAUUUUCUUGUUUUCCCUUAAGGUGCAUGACACCCAGGCCAAGAAAUCGUUUCCUAAAUGGGCUUGCACUCAGACCAUGGCCUUCCACAGGGCCUCCCACAGCUCGUUAUCGCUACAUUUAAGAAGGCUGAGCUGUACCACGGUCUUUUUAGUGAGGUUAAAUUCCUCACUAAGUGCAUUAUGGCCCCACAUCAGACAUCGCCUAACACCCUGGUGAACCGCAUGAUCUUGGCCAUGAGCUCUGAGGCUUGAAAUCAAGGGACUAGUUACUUUAAAUCUAGAAGGUCUAGGAAGGACCUCCUACAAGGUACUUGAGCUAAUGUUAGCGGUUAGCUUCCUGCUUCUCAUACACAGCGCUGAGAUGAAAAGGCCAUCUCACUUCUUAGAGGUGCUGAUUAAAAGUCCCAUCACACAAAAUGUGACCGUAGUUCUGUCACGAUACAAUAUCGCCUCAACGUAUAGGACUUAGCCAUGAGUCAACCCCCUCGCUCACGCCAAACGGCGAGUCUACAAUAAAAACCCGUAGCAUUGGGGGAAACACGAAUGCUUCAUACCCUUUCCUGUUUCGGCCUUUAGCCUAGACCUUAUUAUGCUGUUUUGGGUCGGGGCGGGGGGUCCUUUUUGGCAAAGGGAGUUGGAAUGUUUGAGAGCAGAAAGAUGACUGGCUGGGAGAAAGUUCAGCAUCACUUUGCUCAAUUCUCUCUGCUUCCACUGGCAAAAUACACACUUUCCAAUUAGAGAGAUGAUGACCCAGAGAAGGGCUAAGAAGAGGAAUUUUCAUUACAGAGAAUUUGUUAUAAUUAGAUGAAUGAAGCACUGCUCUAGUGGACCAACAGCUGAGGAGCGCAAAUAACCUAGAAAUAGGAGGCUUAUUUGUGGUAACGGACUUUCCCUGGUAGUAGCAAAACAUAAUAACAAUUCAUACUGUUCUCUGCAAUUACCUUACCAUUUCGUAGAUCAGUCCUUUUGUUACUCUGUCAG
Molecule: RNA transcript, 3822 nt
Organism: Physeter macrocephalus (sperm whale)
Lineage: Eukaryota; Metazoa; Chordata; Mammalia; Artiodactyla; Physeteridae
Gene: DLD
Gene name: dihydrolipoamide dehydrogenase
Exons: 15
Source: RefSeq, a predicted model, not a curated record